UACGUAGGUGGCAAGCGUUGUCCGGAUUUACUGGGCGUAAAGGAUGCGUAGGCGGACAUUUAAGUCAGAUGUGAAAUACCCGAGCUUAACUUGGGUGCUGCAUUUGAAACUGGGUGUCUAGAGUGCAGGAGAGGUAAGUGGAAUUCCUAGUGUAGCGGUGAAAUGCGUAGAGAUUAGGAAGAACACCAGUGGCGAAGGCGACUUACUGGACUGUAACUGACGCUGAGGCAUGAAAGCGUGGGUAGCAAACAGG
This 253-nucleotide ribosomal RNA is filed under the name uncultured bacterium. RNAcentral's name for it is "partial 16S ribosomal RNA". It matches the Rfam family "Bacterial small subunit ribosomal RNA", at positions 524 to 776 of the family's 1533-position model. The record is from RNAcentral.